UACAGAGGUCUCAAGCGUUGUUCGGAUUCAUUGGGCGUAAAGGGUGCGUAGGCUGUCGAGUAAGUCAGAUGUGAAAUUCCGGGGCUCAACCUCGGCACUGCAUUUGAUACUGCUUGGCUAGAGUUUUAUAGAGGAGACUGGAAUUUACGGUGUAGCAGUGAAAUGCGUAGAUAUCGUAAGGAAGACCGGUAGCGAAAGCGAGUCUCUGGAUAAUAACUGACGCUGAGGCACGAAGGCCAGGGGAGCAAACGGG
This 253-nucleotide ribosomal RNA is filed under the name uncultured bacterium. Its description in RNAcentral is "partial 16S ribosomal RNA". It matches the Rfam family "Bacterial small subunit ribosomal RNA", at positions 524 to 776 of the family's 1533-position model. The record is from RNAcentral.